GACGAACGCUGGCGGCGUGCCUAACACAUGCAAGUCAACUAGAUAUAGCAAUAUGUUUGGUGGCGAACGGGUGAGUAACGCGUAGAUAAUCUACCCUUUAAUCAUGGAUAACCUAGUGAAAACUGGACUAAUACAGGAUGUGAUCUUUGAAUGGCAUCAUUUGGAGAUUAAAGACUACGGGUCGUUAAAGGAAGAGUCUGCGUAUCAUUAGCUAGUUGGUAGGGUAACGGCCUACCAAGGCGACGAUGAUUAGCUGGUCUGAGAGGAUGAUCAGCCACACUGGGACUGAGAUACGGCCCAGACUCCUACGGGAGGCAG
Molecule: ribosomal RNA, 318 nt
Filed under: uncultured Fibrobacterota bacterium
Lineage: Bacteria; Pseudomonadati; Fibrobacterota
Description: bacterial SSU rRNA
Rfam family: Bacterial small subunit ribosomal RNA
Source: RNAcentral